RNAcentral lists this ribosomal RNA (253 nucleotides) under uncultured Ferruginibacter sp. RNAcentral's name for it is "partial 16S ribosomal RNA". It matches the Rfam family "Bacterial small subunit ribosomal RNA", at positions 524 to 776 of the family's 1533-position model. The record is from RNAcentral. Lineage: Bacteria; Pseudomonadati; Bacteroidota; Chitinophagia; Chitinophagales; Chitinophagaceae.
UACGGAGGGUGCAAGCGUUAUCCGGAUUUACUGGGUUUAAAGGGUGCGUAGGUGGGCAGGUAAGUCAGUGGUGAAAUCUCCGGGCUUAACUCGGAAACUGCCAUUGAUACUAUUUGUCUUGAAUAUCCUGGAGGUAAGCGGAAUAUGUCAUGUAGCGGUGAAAUGCUUAGAUAUGACAUAGAACACCCAUUGCGAAGGCAGCUUACUACGGGAUCAUUGACACUGAGGCACGAAAGCGUGGGGAUCAAACAGG